UCGACGGCGGCGCUUCCUCGGCGUGCUGGUGGCAGCGGCAGCUCUCGUGUCUCGCAGGGCUUCGCUUGGUGGGUUUGUGAUGGCUCAGCUGUAGAGAGGCACCUCCUUUUAUAGUUGUUAGGAUUAGGGUUACUUAGGGUUUCUCUCUGUUGGGCCUUUUCCACUUGGGCCUGGGCCGGGGUGUUACAAUUCUCCCCCACUAGAACUGAAUUCGUCCCCGAAUUCUGCUGUG
This 232-nucleotide long non-coding RNA is filed under the name Brassica napus (rape). RNAcentral's name for it is "long non-coding RNA (BNAP_LNC003925)". Lineage: Eukaryota; Viridiplantae; Streptophyta; Magnoliopsida; Brassicales; Brassicaceae. The record is from RNAcentral.